UAUGGCUCAAUGGCAAAUGACAAGUUUUAUUUUGUUUUGUCAGCGAAUUUAGCGGGCUUUUUACAAAAGUUUUAUUAUGUUAAUUUGUUUGUUAUACAAAGAUGGUAAUCGAAGUUUAAAAUGAUAAGGAUUCAAACAAGAAUUCAAGGUCCUUACAAAAGUACCUUGCGAGUGUAGAUUUUUUUUAGUUUACCUUCAAGAUUGAAAGGAUGGAGAAAAACAGAAAUACAACUGAUAAAGACAUGACAUUGAAAAAAAGCUACGAUGAGUUAUUAAAUUUAUUCUACCAACUUACUCCAGAACUCCGCUCCCAGAGAGUAACUCGGAGUGUAAGAAAGCUAAUGAACUAUUGGAAUAACUUUAUCAUAGUUGAGGAUUACCGGUGUAUGCCUCUCCUAGGCGAUGAAGAAGAGGUGCCUAACUGGGAGGUUCAUAUUGUUAAAUAUUCUGUAGUUUUUAUAUAGGAAUAAGAAAUUGGUGCCUAUUUUGGUUGUAUACAAUAACUGAAUUGAGAUAAUUUUAUAUACAUAUCAAAUAUUUCAGAACCGGCAGGAUUCGAAUCUGAAGCUUAGUAGGAUAUUUUUCCUUGAAGUAUAGGUGAAACACUAUCAUGAAAAUUAUAAAUAGUAUGUACAAUCGUUUAAAAGCGCUGAUUUGAAGUAUGGGCCUUUGGAAGUAGUUUCGAUAACUGUAACGUGUCGCUACUAGAUGGCAUUAACAGUAGCUUAGUAGUUAGUACCUACUGAAUAAAAAUACAAUAUCUGAAGUUUCGGCACUGGCACAGUUUACUACAGUUAUGGAACUUCUAACAAAACGUCGAAGCUUCGACAUCACUGGCAGCCGUGAAAUGUUAGUAUAUUUGACGCAGGUAGCCCUAAAAUAGCCCUAUUUUUCUUUGAUUUUACGUCACCAAAACCUAAAAUUGGAUAUGUCGAUUGAGGAUCAAACCGAGAGUUCCCUCACUCUGUCACGGACGGCAAGUGAACCGUGGCCUGGUCAAAAGUGCUUCGGGCGUAUUGCCCAAUUGCAAGACGCAGGUUCCAAUCCUGCCGGUUCUGCAAUUUUUGAUACGCAUUUCAAAUUAUUUAGAAAUUUCCUUGAAAAAUUAUAAAUAAAUUGAAAUGUCACUUCAGCACAGUAAAACAGUCCUAAACAGCCUUGCUUUAAAGCUCACAUUUGUCCAUUCAUCUAUAGCCAGCGCUUCAAGCGGAAAUGCUGCAAAAUUAAAACCGGUACUGAAUUUUCAGUUUUAAAUCAAGGACAUUUAGGUCCAUUUUACACUGGCAUUAUUUUGUUUUGAGGCUCGAAUUCUAUCAACGUUGCCAUACGCGCCGGUAGUAGGGCACCUCUGUCGUCGACAAAGUGCCGCUCGUUUGCAAGCACACUAAUGGAGAAGUUUCCAUUUUUUUUUUUUCACUGAAUAAUUAAAUAUAUUUUAAGAAAAGUAUGCUGAAGAUAUGAAAGAAUCAUUAAAAUAUCUCAACAAAAAAAAAACAUUGCGGAACUUUUAAACUUUCGCUUGUAGGAAUAGUUUCGUUUCACGCGGCGUGAUGUCACACUACUGACUGACUGACGCGGCUCGUAUUCGCUUCUAUUCGGCUAGGUAAAAUGACGUCACACUUGAAAGACCGCAAUCCUUGUGCGCUAAAAUACUUAACUUAAAUAAUUUCUCAGUCGUUUCUUUGAUGGAAUUCAUUUUUUUCACGGAUUUAUUAGAUUUGAUCUAUAAUUUAAUUCCAUUGCAUAAAAUAUAAUAUUAAGAACAUCAUGAAACUUCUCCAUCGGUAUACCUGCCAUUUAUUAAUUAUAAGAAUACUCAUAAGUAUAAAAAAGUACAAAUCGGUUUGUUUACAUCUCGUUAUUACUACUAUGCACUUGAUAUUACUAUAAUGUAGUUCCUAAACAUUCCAAGGUACAACCUUUGUAAUUAAAUAGAGAAGCUAAUAUGUUUUCACUCUCAAGUCCAUAGGUAAAGUCAGGGUACUUUUUUGUAGCUUUAAUACAAUUGCACAAAACUACUGUUUAAGAAAUGACUGAUAGUUAUUAAUUUCGGCAAUAUGAAUAUGUGGUAGGUCAGAACUAGAAUGAUGAAGUUAAAAUUUUUUCAUUCUGAGUUUUGACAUAACUAAGUAUAUCUUAACAUUGUUAA
Long non-coding RNA from Maniola jurtina (meadow brown), 2149 nucleotides. RefSeq lists it as uncharacterized. Lineage: Eukaryota; Metazoa; Arthropoda; Insecta; Lepidoptera; Nymphalidae. The record is from RefSeq and is a predicted model, not a curated record. The transcript has 2 exons.